RNAcentral lists this ribosomal RNA (756 nucleotides) under uncultured Sebacina. Its description in RNAcentral is "partial 28S ribosomal RNA". It matches the Rfam family "Eukaryotic large subunit ribosomal RNA", at positions 216 to 962 of the family's 3401-position model. Lineage: Eukaryota; Fungi; Basidiomycota; Agaricomycetes; Sebacinales; Sebacinaceae. The record is from RNAcentral.
GAAUCCCGUAUAUGGCAUGGACUACCGUUACUCUGUGAUACACUCUCGACGAGUCGAGUUGUUUGGGAAUGCAGCUCCAAAUGGGUGGUAAAUGCCAUCUAAAGCUAAAUAUUGGCGAGAGACCGAUAGCGAACAAGUACCGUGAGGGAAAGAUGAAAAGCACUUUGGAAAGAGAGUGAAACAGUACGUGAAAUUGUUGAAAGGGAAACGCUUGAAGUCAGUCGCGCCGUUCGGGAUUCAGCCUUGCUUCUGCUCGGUUUACUUCCCGUUGGGUGGGUCAACAUCAGUUUUGGUCGGAGGAGAAAGGCUUGGGGAAGGUGGCAGCAUUCGUGCUGUGUUAUAGCCCCUUGUUGUAUACUUCGACUGGGACUGAGGACCGCAGCACGCCUUUGGCCGGGGUUCGCCCACGUACGUGCUUAGGAUGUUGGCAUAAUGGCUUUAAGCGACCCGUCUUGAAACACGGACCAAGGAGUCUAACAUGUGCGCGAGUGUUUGAGUGUUAAACUCAGACGCGAAAUGAAAGUGAAAAGUUGGGAACACUCAUGUGUGCACCGACGCCCGGAGCUGACCUUCUGUGACGCAUCUGCGGUAGAGCGUAUAUGUUGGGACCCGGAAGAUGGUGAACUAUGCCUGAAUAGGGUGAAGCCAGAGGAAACUCUGGUGGAGGCUCGUAGCGAUUCUGACGUGCAAAUCGAUCGUCAAAUUUGGGUAUAGGGGCGAAAGACUAAUCGAACCAUCUAGUAGCUGGUUCCUGCC